RNAcentral lists this ribosomal RNA (119 nucleotides) under Triticum aestivum (bread wheat). RNAcentral also lists the same sequence under 1 other name. Lineage: Eukaryota; Viridiplantae; Streptophyta; Magnoliopsida; Poales; Poaceae. The record is from RNAcentral.
GGAUGCGAUCAUACCAGCACUAAAGCACCGGAUCCCAUCAGAACUCCGAAGUUAAGCGUGCUUGGGCGAGAGUAGUACUAGGAUGGGUGACCUCCGGGGAAGUCCUCGUGUUGCAUUCC